This 432-nucleotide long non-coding RNA is filed under the name Phasianus colchicus (ring-necked pheasant). RNAcentral describes it as "lncRNA (ENSPCLG00000019947.1)". The record is from RNAcentral. Lineage: Eukaryota; Metazoa; Chordata; Aves; Galliformes; Phasianidae.
CAGUUUUUUCAUUACCAGUUGCCUCAGGGUAGUGAUCAAAAGUGACUAGGAUGCUACAUGGGUGUAUUUCACACUAUCUUUUGAUUUUUUUAUUUUUUUUUUCCAGUACUCAGUAGUACAGCUGUUAAGGGAGAAAAUAUACAAACUUUAUAUCUACUCUGAAGAUAAGGAUAACAGAUAAUAUUUCCAAAAGAAAAUUUGUCAUCCUUGAAUAAGCAGAAUGAGGAAAAAGUAAGUAAAUGGAGAAUAGUGCAUUUACGGAGAAGAACCAAAUUAAUCAUUUAAGAUAAGGAAGUUUAAGCUGCUAGGCAUGUGAAGCCCUUUACCAAUCAUCAGGCAAGGCAGGCUUUUAACGUGCAUCUUUCUGGACUUAGUAAACUUGUAGGUAAGAGAAACCAUACGUUGAAGGUAAAAGGAAUGCAACUGUGGUAG